AUUGAACGCUGGCGGCAUGCUUUACACAUGCAAGUCGAACGGUAACAGGCCUUCGGGUGCUGACGAGUGGCGAACGGGUGAGUAAUGCAUCGGAACGUACCCAGAGGUGGGGGAUAACGCAGCGAAAGCUGUGCUAAUACCGCAUGUGAUCUGAGGAUGAAAGCGGGGGACCGAGCAGCAAUGUUUGGCCUCGCGCCUUUGGAGCGGCCGAUGUCGGAUUAGCUAGUUGGUGGGGUAAAGGCCUACCAAGGCGACGAUCCGUAGCUGGUCUGAGAGGACGACCAGCCACACUGGGACUGAGACACGGCCCAGACUCCUACGGGAGGCAGCAGUGGGGAAUUUUGGACAAUGGGCGCAAGCCUGAUCCAGCAAUGCCGCGUGCGGGAAGAAGGCCUUCGGGUUGUAAACCGCUUUUGGAAGGAACGAAACGGUGUCCGCUAAUACCGGGCGCUAAUGACGGUACCUGCAGAAUAAGCACCGGCUAACUACGUG
Molecule: ribosomal RNA, 492 nt
Filed under: uncultured bacterium
Lineage: Bacteria
Description: partial 16S ribosomal RNA
Rfam family: Bacterial small subunit ribosomal RNA
Source: RNAcentral